CACCAAGACGACGACGGGUAGCCGGCCUGAGAGGGCGACCGGCCACACUGGGACUGAGACACGGCCCAGACUCCUACGGGAGGCAGCAGUGGGGAAUAUUGCACAAUGGGGGAAACCCUGAUGCAGCGACGCAGCGUGCGGGAUGACGGCCUUCGGGUUGUAAACCGCUUUCAGCAGGGAAGAAGCGCAAGUGACGGUACCUGCAGAAGAAGUACCGGCUAACUACGUGCCAGCAGCCGCGGUAAUACGUAGGGUACGAGCGUUGUCCGGAAUUAUUGGGCGUAAAGAGCUCGUAGGUGGUUGGUCACGUCUGCUGUGGAAACGCAACGCUUAACGUUGCGCGUGCAGUGGGUACGGGCUGACUAGAGUGCAGUAGGGGAGUCUGGAAUUCCUGGUGUAGCGGUGAAAUGCGCAGAUAUCAGGAGGAACACCGGUGGCGAAGGCGGGACUCUGGGCUGUAACUGACACUGAGGAGCGAAAGCAUGGGGAGCGAACAGGAUUAGAUACCCUGGUAGUCCAUGCCGUAAACGUUGGGCACUAGGUGUGGGGGGCAUUCCACGUUCUCCGCGCCGUAGCUAACGCAUUAAGUGCCCCGCCUGGGGAGUACGG
This 609-nucleotide ribosomal RNA is filed under the name Brevibacterium sp. CMT162. Its description in RNAcentral is "bacterial SSU rRNA". It matches the Rfam family "Bacterial small subunit ribosomal RNA", at positions 266 to 885 of the family's 1533-position model. The record is from RNAcentral. Lineage: Bacteria; Bacillati; Actinomycetota; Actinomycetes; Micrococcales; Brevibacteriaceae.